Ruditapes philippinarum (Manila clam) is the source of this 514-nucleotide long non-coding RNA. RefSeq lists it as uncharacterized. The transcript has 3 exons. NCBI's taxonomy places the organism in Eukaryota, Metazoa, Mollusca, Bivalvia, Venerida, Veneridae. The record is from RefSeq and is a predicted model, not a curated record.
AUAUCUCAUAAUAGCAGCCAAAGCAAUAUGAUUUGUACUCAAAUAAAAAUCUGUUGGAUAUUGGUAGUUGUUUUGGGGAUAAUGUUUGAAAUAAGCGAUGCGGGUUUAACUGUAUGCAAUUGUCAUUACCAAGAUGGUGGUUGUCCGGCCGGCCAGAAAGAGUCAGGAAAAUGCACUCUUGGAGGAAAGAAAUAUCCCCGAUGCUGCUUAACUAGUGGCGUUGACGACGGGUGUGACUGUAAAGCAACAUGCAAUGCGAAUGAAUACCAGCAAGACUCGUGCACAUCCGGGCAUAUUUGCUGUCCUAGACAGCCGAACUCACAGUACUAUGAUCCUGAUAGGGUUCAACAGCAGUAAUAAACUGGACGUUUUCAGAUCGAGAAGAAUCAAUGCAUAGACCAAGGACCGUGACGUUUUACCUGAAACAAAUAAAUUGAAAACCUUAAAUGUUGUUUUAAGAUAGUGAGUUUUAGUAAAUAUUGAAGGAUAAAUGUAGUCACAAAUCAUCUGUCAA